Molecule: non-coding RNA, 85 nt
Organism: Candidatus Adlerbacteria bacterium
Lineage: Bacteria; Candidatus Adleribacteriota
Source: Rfam
GGAGGGGUGGCAGAGUGGUCUAACGCACCGCACUUGAAAUGCGGCGUACCGCAAGGUACCGUGAGUUCGAAUCUCACCCCCUCCG